Molecule: ribosomal RNA, 1750 nt
Filed under: human gut metagenome
Description: bacterial LSU rRNA
Rfam family: Bacterial large subunit ribosomal RNA
Source: RNAcentral
AGGAGAAAAUAAACAAUGAUUCCGUAAGUAGUGGCGAGCGAACACGGAAGAGCCCAAACCCGUGCCGUCUAGGCGACACGGGGGUUGUAGGACCACGACGUGGCAAGAUAGAGUCAAGUGGAACGCCUUGGAAAAGGCGGUCAUAGAGGGUGAAAACCCCGUACACGACUGACGAUUGAAGCCUAGUGGUAUCCUGAGUAGCGCGGGGCACGAGAAAUCUUGCGUGAAACUGCGGGGCCCAUCCCGUAAGGCUAAAUACUCCCGAGAGACCGAUAGCGAACCAGUACCGUGAGGGAAAGGUGAAAAGAACCCCGAGCAGGGGAGUGAAAUAGACCCUGAACCCGUCUGCCUACAAGCGGUCGGAGCGUUGUUAUGACGUGACGGCGUGCCUUUUGCAUAAUGAACCUACGAGUUACCUUCCCCGGCAAGGUUAAGUACCUAAGGUACGGAGCCGAAGCGAAAGCGAGUCUGAAGAGGGCGGCCAGUCGGGGGGGGUAGACGCGAAACCGAGUGAUCUACCCUUGGCCAGGUUGAAGGUUGGGUAACACCAACUGGAGGACCGGAUGGGUAAGCGUUGAAAAGCUUUCCAAUGAGCUGAGGGUAGGGGUGAAAGGCUAAUCAAACUCGGAGAUAGCUCGUACUCCCCGAAAUGCAUUUAGGUGCAGCCUCUUUAUAGUAUAUCGUGAGGUAGAGCGACUGAUUGGAUGCGAGGGCUUCACCGCCUAUCAAGUCCAGAUAAACUCCGAAUGCGCGAUAUAUAUUUACAGGGAGUGAGGGCGCGGGUGCUAAGGUCCGUGUCCGAGAGGAGAAGAAUCCAGACCACCGGCUAAGGCCCCCAAAUGAUCGUUGAGUUGAACUAACGAGGUCGGAUCGCAGAGACAGCUAGGAUGUUGGCUUGGAAGCAGCCAUUCAUUUAAAGAGUGCGUAACAGCUCACUAGUCGAGCGAUCUGGCGUGGAUAAUAAUCGGGCAUAAACGAUCUGCCGAAGCCGUGGAUGUCGUAAGACAUGGUAGGGGAGCAUUCCAUGCGGCGUCGAAGAUGAGGGAUGACCCUUGUUGGAGCGCAUGGAAAAGCAAAUGUAGGUAUGAGUAACGAUAAGGGGGGCGAGAAACCCCCCCGCCGAAAGACCAAGGUUUCCUGAUCAACGCUAAUCGGAUCAGGGUGAGUCGGGACCUAAGGCAAAGCCGAACGGCGCCGCCGAUGGAAGAAUGGGUUAAUAUUCCCAUACUGCCUCAUGGAGUGACGUGGAGACGGAGAAGUGACAGUCCUGCCGGCUGACGGAAUAGCCGGUUGAAGGGUGUAGAUAUUGAUUCCCGUAGGCAAAUCCGCGGGGAGAGUCGAACCUGACAGUAUACCGAGUACUUGUACGAGGUAAUAUGGACGUAACCAUGCUCCCAAGAAAAUCCGCUAAACUUAUCCAUGCGGCACCCGUACCGUAAACGGACACACGUGGUCGGGUUGAGAAUACUGAGGCGCUCGAGUGACUCACGGUUAAGGAACUAGGCAAAUUGACCCUGUAACUUCGGGAUAAAGGGUCCUCGUCGUAAGGCGAGGCGCAGAGAAUAGGUCCAGGCAACUGUUUAACAAAAACACAUGGCUAUGCUAAAUGGAAACAUGACGUAUAUAGCCUGACACCUGCCCGGUGCUGGAAGGUUAAGAGGAGAUGUCAUCGCAAGAGAAGCGUUGAAUUGAAGCCCCAGUAAACGGCGGCCGUAACUAUAACGGUCCUAAGGUAGCGAAAUUCCUUGUC